UCAUUGUUUUGUGAUCGAACAAUUUCCACCAGACUUUGGGGAUCGCGUAGAGAUUUUUCUACGUUCAACAUUGGAAGGAAUCUUCAUGGCUUGCUUGGGGGGAGUUGGGAAGAUGUCUCUAUUCUUUCAUUGGGAAGGGAAAGGAAACAAAUACUACAAAAAUACAAGGGUUCUACGUUCCAAGUCUAACCAAAUGACGGAUGGAUCCCCCAUUUGUUUUUUUUUUGUUUUUUGCAUGUGGGGCCUAUGGCUAGCUAAAGUGUGAGAAAACGAGAGAUAAGGGAAGAGAAAGGAAAAGUAAGAUGUGGCUAUGGCGUGAGUAGCACAAAAUAUUAAUAUUCAAACAGAUUUAUAAAAUUCAACAUAUAACUUUCAUAAAUUCAACUUAUUUUUCUUUAAAUUUGUUGACAAAUAUCUGUCUUCAAUAACAUAAUUUUAUUAAAACUAUAUCGUACAUAAAUAAAUAAUUACAAUUAACAUAAAUAAAUAAAAUAUAUAUCUAAACAUAAAUAACUCACGAUAAUUAGAAGUCGAGACUAAGGGGACGUUUGUUUGUUUGUUUUGUUUUAGGUUUAAUAAUUUAGUGUCAUUUUUUUGAAUGAUUUUUUUUUAUAUAAUAUUAAGUAAUGUUAAAUAAAUUUAUAAUAAUUUUGAAUUUUUUUAAAGAAAUAAAAUAAUAAAAAUAUGUUAUUCAAACAUUUCAAUUAUCAAAUAAAUUUUUUUAUUUAAAUUUUAUUAAACACCCCCUAAAUAGGCGGUGUCUAAUGUUAAAGGUAUUUAUUCAAAGAAAAUAUAUGUAAAAUAAAAAACAAUUAUAAACUGUUUGGCUUAUUAGGAGAUGCUCAUAAUUAUUACUAAUUCAAACCACCUUGUUAUAAUGGAAAUUGUCUAAGAUUAUUCACGUACAUCCCAAGAAAGUACCAAAGUUGUUAAGCGUGGAACAAUGA
Molecule: long non-coding RNA, 947 nt
Filed under: Panax ginseng (ginseng)
Lineage: Eukaryota; Viridiplantae; Streptophyta; Magnoliopsida; Apiales; Araliaceae
Description: long non-coding RNA (PGIN_LNC008142)
Source: RNAcentral